RNAcentral lists this ribosomal RNA (350 nucleotides) under uncultured bacterium. RNAcentral's name for it is "bacterial SSU rRNA". It matches the Rfam family "Bacterial small subunit ribosomal RNA", at positions 355 to 697 of the family's 1533-position model. The record is from RNAcentral.
UGGGGAAUAUUGCGCAAUGGGCGAAAGCCUGACGCAGCCAUGCCGCGUGUGUGAAGAAGGCCUUAGGGUUGUAAAGCACUUUCAAUUGGGAGGAAGAGGUUAAAGUUAAUAGCUUUGACUUUUGACGUUACCUUUAGAAGAAGCACCGGCUAACUCCGUGCCAGCAGCCGCGGUAAUACGGAGGGUGCGAGCGUUAAUCGGAAUUACUGGGCGUAAAGCGCGCGUAGGCGGUUUGUUAAGUCGGAUGUGAAAGCCCCGGGCUCAACCUGGGAACUGCACCCGAUACUGGCCGACUUGAGUGCGAGAGAGGGAGGUAGAAUUCCAUGUGUAGCGGUGAAAUGCGUAGAUAU